RNAcentral lists this unclassified non-coding RNA (377 nucleotides) under uncultured Actinomycetes bacterium. RNAcentral's name for it is "uncultured actinobacterium contains 16S-23S intergenic spacer region". The record is from RNAcentral. Lineage: Bacteria; Bacillati; Actinomycetota; Actinomycetes.
UCCGAGUUGUCCCCGGCAGUCCUCUUAGAGUCCCCGACAUAACUCGCUGGCAACUAAGGACAGGGGUUGCGCUCGCUGCGGCACUUAAGCCAACACCUCACGGCACGAGCUGACGACAGCCAUGCAGCACCUGUGCUGGCCCCUUACGGAGCCCUGCUUUCACAGGGUUUAACCAGCAUGUCAAGCCCAGGUAAGGUUCUUCGCGUUGCAUCGAAUUAAGCCACAUGCUCCGCCGCUUGUGCGGGUCCCCGUCAAUUCCUUUGAGUUUUAGCCUUGCGGCCGUACUCCCCAGGCGGAGUGCUUAAUGCGUUAGCUGCGGCACGGAGAGGGUUGAAGACCCACCAAACCUAGUACCCAUCGUUUACGGCGUGGACUAC